RNAcentral lists this transfer RNA (77 nucleotides) under Chloroflexota bacterium. Its description in RNAcentral is "tRNA-Thr". It matches the Rfam family "tRNA". Rfam says of the family: Transfer RNA (tRNA) molecules are approximately 80 nucleotides in length. Their secondary structure includes four short double-helical elements and three loops (D, anti-codon, and T loops). Further hydrogen bonds mediate the characteristic L-shaped molecular structure. tRNAs have two regions of fundamental functional importance: the anti-codon, which is responsible for specific mRNA codon recognition, and the 3' end, to which the tRNAs corresponding amino acid is attached (by aminoacyl-tRNA synthetases). tRNAs cope with the degeneracy of the genetic code in two manners: having more than one tRNA (with a specific anti-codon) for a particular amino acid; and 'wobble' base-pairing, i.e. permitting non-standard base-pairing at the 3rd anti-codon position. Lineage: Bacteria; Bacillati; Chloroflexota. The record is from RNAcentral.
GGUGGUGUGGCCCAGUUCGUUAGUGCAUUGCACUGGUGAUGCAAAGGUCAUAGGUUCAAAUCCUGUCAAUCCGACCA